This 73-nucleotide transfer RNA is filed under the name Agrilus planipennis (emerald ash borer). It matches the Rfam family "tRNA". Rfam says of the family: Transfer RNA (tRNA) molecules are approximately 80 nucleotides in length. The record is from Rfam by way of RNAcentral. Lineage: Eukaryota; Metazoa; Arthropoda; Insecta; Coleoptera; Buprestidae.
UCUCUCGUAGCUUUUUGGUUAGAGCAUUGGUGCGUUAAGCUAAAGGUCCCGGGUUCGAUUCCUGGCGAGCGUA